UGCGUAGGCGGUUAUAUUAGUCGGGUGUUAAAUCCAGGGCUCAACCUCUGGCUCGCAUUCGAAACGGUAUAACUAGAAGAAGUGAGAGGUUUAGAGAACUCUCGGUGUAGGGGUGAAAUCCGUUGAUAUCGAGGGGAAUACCAAAUGCGAAGGCACUAAACUGGCACUUUCUUGACGCUGAGGCACGAAAGCGUGGGUAGCGAACG
RNAcentral lists this ribosomal RNA (206 nucleotides) under uncultured bacterium. Its description in RNAcentral is "partial 16S ribosomal RNA". It matches the Rfam family "Bacterial small subunit ribosomal RNA", at positions 568 to 774 of the family's 1533-position model. The record is from RNAcentral.